GAAGCUGAAUCGUGAAGAACACCUGCGCUAAGAAUGGCGACGUCUUUCGAAGUGGCUCUUCUGAAACGACCGUAAAUGGAGAUGGUAUCACUGACCAGGUGGAUGGAGCAAGUUGCUGAAAUGUGAAUUGCAAGAUGACCUCUAGGCGAAGAAGAUCUGAUGCCGGAAACUCUCCACCAUGACUGCGUUGGGAGUCAUCAAUAACAACUUUUUGAAAAUUGGAACUGCUCGUAAGAUUUGGCCAAAACGUCUCAAGUUGGGAUUCUCUCACGGAAGCGUUUGGAAAACAACAUUAAAAUCAAUUGCGGUCUUAUCAAAUAAGGAAACGUGAACCUGUAGGUAGGUACGCGAUAGUUAAAGUAAUUGCCUGAGUAAUGAUUUGUAAUUAAAGUUUGCGAGGAUUUUGCGGUCUCUGUAUACUUGAUAAAUGUGAAUCGGUCACCGAAUAAAUAAUAGGGAAUACCC
This is a long non-coding RNA of Photinus pyralis (common eastern firefly), 465 nucleotides long. RefSeq lists it as uncharacterized. NCBI's taxonomy places the organism in Eukaryota, Metazoa, Arthropoda, Insecta, Coleoptera, Lampyridae. The transcript is spliced from 2 exons. The record is from RefSeq and is a predicted model, not a curated record.